UGUCCAGUUACUAUCAGGUAAUGCUGAGGACUCUGGACAGACUGCCAUCGUAAGAUGUGAGGAAGGUGGGGAUGACGUCAAAUCAGCACGGCCCUUACGUCCGGGGCUACACACGUGUUACAAUGGGGGGUACAGAAGGCAGCUACCGGGCGACCGGAUGCCAAUCCCGAAAGCCUCUCUCAGUUCGGACUGGAGUCUGCAACCCGACUCCACGAAGCUGGAUUCGCUAGUAAUCGCGCAUCAGCCACGGCGCGGUGAAUACGUUCCCGGGCCUUGUACACACCGCCCGUCAAGCCAUGAAAGCCGGGGGUACCUGAAGUGCGUAACCGCAAGGAGCGCCCUAGGGUAAAACUGGUAAUUGGGGCUAAGUCGUAACAAGGUAGCCGUACCGGAAGGUGCGGCUGGAACACCUCCUUUCUGGAGAGGGACCGACGAAGGUUCUUGCCUUGUGCUGCAGAUGAGUUUGUUUUUCGAUAUAAGAAGAGAGAAAGAUGAAGCCGAGUCGGAACGGACGAGGUUGAACUGAAUCACACAGUCAAUAGUUUGGUUUUCGCUUUUAACUGUUAACUUUUAACUAUUAACUGACACAGUCCUAUAGCUCAGUUGGUUAGAGCGCUACACUGAUAAUGUAGAGGUCGGCAGUUCAACUCUGCCUGGGACUACCUCGAAAGAAGGGAGCGAAAAAAACUUCCUUAAAAUUUUGCAGGAACGAAGGGAAAUGCUUACCUUUGCAGCCGUUUUGAAAAAAUGAAGCAUGAAUCUUGGGGGAUUAGCUCAGCUGGCUAGAGCACCUGCUUUGCACGCAGGGGGUCAACGGUUCGAAUCCGUUAUUCUCCACUUGAAGGGUUAAAAGGCAAGAGUUGAAAAUUAAAAGUGAUUUUAACUGUUAACUAUUAACUUUUAACUGAAAAACGGUCUAUGACAUGAUGUAACAAGCAAAAAGUAAUUUUAGUACGAAAGCUAAAAGUAUAUAUCAUCCCGCACCCGUCGAAAGACGGAAUGUGCACGUGAUAAGGAAAGUAGGAAAGGGCGCAUGGCGGAUGCCUUGGCUCUCGGAGGCGAUGAAGGACGUGAUAAGCUGCGAUAAGCCGCGGGGAGGUGCAAAUAACCUUUGAUCCGCGGAUUUCCGAAUGGGACAACCCGUUAUCUUGAAGAGAUAACAUCCAUCUUCAGAUGGAGGCNUCUGGAGCGUAUGGAAAAGCAAAUGUAGGUAUAAGUAACGAUAAAGGGGGUGGGAAACCCCCUCGCCGAAAGACUAAGGUUUCCUGAUCAACGCUAAUCGGAUCAGGGUAAGUCGGGUCCUAAGGCUCAGCCGAACGGCGAGGCCGAUGGCAGAAACGGUUAAUAUUCCGUUACUACCUUUGAGGGUGACGUGGGGAAGCAGCAGUGACACCGCCGCCGGCUGACGGAAUAGCCGGUUGAAGGGUGUAGGCGUCGAUUUCCGCAGGCAAAUCCACGGAAAGAGCCGAACCUGAUAGUACGCCAACUCCUUCGGGAAGCGGCGAUAGCGCGGGUAAGCAGACUGCCGAGAAAAUCCGCUAAACAUAACUUCAGAGGUACCCGUACCGCAAACGGACACACGUAGUCGGGUUGAAUAUACUAAGGCGCUUGAGUGAAUCACGGUUAAGGAACUAGGCAAACUGACCCUGUAACUUCGGGAUAAAGGGUCCCUCCUCGCAAGAGAGGGCGCAGAGAAUAGGUCCAGGCAACUGUUUAACAAAAACACAGGGCUGUGCGAAUAUGAAAGUAGAAGUAUACAGCCUGACACCUGCCCGGUGCUGGAAGGUUAAGAGGAGAUGUCAUCGCAAGAGAAGCAUUGAAUUGAAGCCCCAGUAAACGGCGGCCGUAACUAUAACGGUCCUAAGGUAGCGAAAUUCCUUGUCGGGUAAGUUCCGACCUGCACGAAUGGUGUAAUGAUCCGGACGCUGUCUCAACCGUGAGCUCAGUGAAAUUGUAGUAUCGGUGAAGAUGCCGAUUACCCGCGAUGGGACGAAAAGACCCCGUGAACCUUUACUAUAGCUUAGCAUUGAAUUUGGGCACGCGAUGUGUAGGAUAGGUCGGAGGCUGAGAGACGGGCACGCCAGUGUUCGUGGAGCCGCUGUUGAAAUACGACCCUUCGUUUGUUUGAGUUCUAACUCCAGGCAGGAGGACAUUGCUUGGUGGGUAGUUUGACUGGGGUGGUCGCCUCCAAAAGCGUAACGGAGGCUUCUAAAGGUGCCCUCAGGACGAUUGGUAACCGUCCGCAGAGUGUAAUGGCAUAAGGGCGCUUGACUGGGAGACAGACAAGUCGAGCAGGUAGGAAACUAGAGCAUAGUGAUCCGGUGUUUCCGUAUGGAAGGGACAUCGCUCAAAGGAUAAAAGGUACUCCGGGGAUAACAGGCUGAUCCCUCCCAAGAGCUCAUAUCGACGGAGUGGUUUGGCACCUCGAUGUCGGCUCGUCACAUCCUGGGGCUGGAGAAGGUCCCAAGGGUUGGGCUGUUCGCCCAUUAAAGUGGCACGCGAGCUGGGUUCAGAACGUCGUGAGACAGUUCGGUCUCUAUCUAUCGUGGGCGUAUGAAAUUUGCGUGGCUCUGACACUAGUACGAGAGGACCGUGUUGGACCGACCUCUGGUUUACCGGUUGUGCCGCCAGGCGCAUCGCCGGGUAUCUAAGUCGGGAUCGGAUAAGCGCUGAAAGCAUCUAAGUGCGAAGCCGGCCACAAGAUUAGAUUUCUCAGGGUCGUUGAAGACGACAACGUUGAUAGGAUGCAGGUGUAAAGCUGGAGACAGCAAAGCCGAGCAUUACUAAUUGCCCGAAGGCUUUCCUUA
This 2807-nucleotide ribosomal RNA is filed under the name Bacteroides mediterraneensis. RNAcentral describes it as "bacterial LSU rRNA". The stretch from base 1014 to 2807 matches the Rfam family "Bacterial large subunit ribosomal RNA". The record is from RNAcentral. Lineage: Bacteria; Pseudomonadati; Bacteroidota; Bacteroidia; Bacteroidales; Bacteroidaceae.